This 73-nucleotide transfer RNA is filed under the name Monodelphis domestica (gray short-tailed opossum). It matches the Rfam family "tRNA". From Rfam's summary of the family: Transfer RNA (tRNA) molecules are approximately 80 nucleotides in length. Their secondary structure includes four short double-helical elements and three loops (D, anti-codon, and T loops). Lineage: Eukaryota; Metazoa; Chordata; Mammalia; Didelphimorphia; Didelphidae. The record is from Rfam by way of RNAcentral.
AGCUAGGUGGCUCAAUGGAUAGAGCACCAGACCUGGGAUUGGGAAGAACUGGGUUCAAAUCCAGUCUCAGAUA